GUCUAUGGCCACACCACGCUGAAAGUACCCCAUCUCAUCUGAUCUCGGAGGCUAAGCAGGGUCAGGCCUGGUUAGUACUUGGAUGGGAGAUGCUGCAGUCAACAAUA
Molecule: non-coding RNA, 107 nt
Organism: Ovis aries (sheep)
Lineage: Eukaryota; Metazoa; Chordata; Mammalia; Artiodactyla; Bovidae
Source: Rfam